This is a long non-coding RNA of Panicum virgatum (switchgrass), 565 nucleotides long. RefSeq lists it as uncharacterized. The record is from RefSeq and is a predicted model, not a curated record. The transcript has 2 exons. NCBI's taxonomy places the organism in Eukaryota, Viridiplantae, Streptophyta, Magnoliopsida, Poales, Poaceae.
CGCCCGCAGCAGCGACACUGUUAUCAUUUGUUCUUUAUCCGCGGCCCGUUCGUUAGAUCUGUGCUGAUGUCGAUGUAGUGUAAAGCUAGUGAUUGUUUAGCCCAAUGAUGUUUCAUUACCGCUGAUUUGAAUAAGGAAUUUUGAACUACGCUUAAAUAUGAUCAAACGUCUCUUAUCUCUCGUGAUGGCUGUCAGGUGACUAAUGUUUUGAUAGUGCUAUAAUUGCUCUAAUUGUCAAAUUCCACUUGACUAACGUCACUUACUGAAAUUGCCCUUUGCAUUUAACAUUCCUCUGUUACUAGCGGUUUCUUUAAGGCUAUUGGAAGGUCAGAACAUAUACUUGGUCAAGUUUGUGCUAGAACUGUUUGAUUUUCCUUGUUCGUCUGCCCUAGGCCGAGCGCUUACCUCUUAAGCCAUGGGGUGGCGUGGUAUUCCACGAGAAAAGGUUGUUGUGGCGCACGUUAUACGUGUGAUGGGCAUACAUCAAACAUACCAUUCUGGCUUCCAUUCUGUGCUAGUAGUGGCAGCUAGGAAAGCCUGUGUGGAUGACACAUACAAAAAUACA